RNAcentral lists this small nucleolar RNA (107 nucleotides) under Helianthus annuus (common sunflower). RNAcentral describes it as "sRNA HanXRQr2_Chr02g0072521". It matches the Rfam family "Plant small nucleolar RNA R71". From Rfam's summary of the family: R71 is a member of the C/D box family of snoRNAs containing the C (UGAUGA) and D (CUGA) box motifs. Multiple nearly identical copies of this snoRNA have been identified in Arabidopsis, and it is thought to function as a 2'-O-ribose methylation guide for 18S ribosomal RNA. The record is from Rfam by way of RNAcentral. Lineage: Eukaryota; Viridiplantae; Streptophyta; Magnoliopsida; Asterales; Asteraceae.
AGGCCAUGAUGUGGACACUUGCGUAAUAGCUCCUUGAACCUUUCCCUAGUUUCAUAUAAGGAUUCCCCGUCCUCUUGUCAAUAUGUAUUAAUUUUAGUCAUUAAUUU